Long non-coding RNA from Tripterygium wilfordii, 1363 nucleotides. RefSeq lists it as uncharacterized. The transcript has 2 exons. The record is from RefSeq and is a predicted model, not a curated record. Lineage: Eukaryota; Viridiplantae; Streptophyta; Magnoliopsida; Celastrales; Celastraceae.
UGUGCUUAGAAGACUAGAGAGAGAUGGAGAUGGAGAGAUGGAGAGAUGGAGAGAGAUUGUUUGUGUUUUUAGUGUUUACUGACAUUUCUGCUACAGAAUACCCUGAACAUCUCUCUUUCUCACUAAUUCAUUCAUUGUGGAAAGAGAUUUGGUAAAGAUCUGUGAGAGAGAGAGGGGGGUCAGUACUUUUAUUUCUUCCCCCUGUGUGACUCUCAUGAAGACAAUGACCCAUCAUAUCAUCAUCAGCAUCUUCUUCUCUUCGCACUGUGCCCAAUGAUCAUCAGAUCCACCCAGUUGUGAUUUUUAAUCUCUCUUUUCUGUGCAAAAGUGGACUUUGCUUGCUUUUAAUGGCCAGUUUGGGAGUUGGGGAAGUACAGUAUUGUUGUGUUUAUCAAGGGAGGAAAGUACCAUUUGAUCUAUUUAUUUUUUCUAAAAAGAAUCAUUUGCAGUACAAGUGUGGCCUAACCCAUAUAUAUAAUAUUCAUAAUGUGGAGUUGUUUUCAAGGUGUUGGUCUCUAUAUAUAUCUCUUUACUUUCUUUUCUUUUCUUUUUCUAAUCUCUCUCUUUUUGUUUAAACUUCAAUAUUUCUUGGAAAUGUAUGUUGUCUUGGCCUCUUGGGUUGUGUAGUGACUAAUUUCCUUUUAAUUUUCUAAUCAAAGUUAACUAGCUUUGUUGUUGUUUUCCAACUUUUGAAACAAUUGCCAUAUAUGGAUGAGCCUACUGCCUACUUCCUCAGCUAUGUUCUUGUUUUGGUAAUUCAUUUAUGUUUGCCUCUUCCUAGUUAUAUAUUUUGAGCUAGUUCUAUGCAUUGUGGUCCCUCUUUCUCUUGAUUUAUGUAUGCAUUGCAGGGGAGAUUAAUGGUGGUGGUUGUCCAUUCUUUCAAGUGCCUGGUGUUUCUGCGAAUUGUUAAUGUGAUGAUCGAUAAUGAGUCGAGUUCAAUACCCAUUUGAAAGAAUUCAUCCACAUCCAACUCGACCAUUGUUGAAGGUGAAGUUCUCACUAAUGGGUAUUUAGUGGAGCCAACAACCUAACAGCCAACGUAGUUAAGGCAUACACUCGACUUAAUAGUACCUAAAUUCGAGUCCCCUUCCCUCCUUAACCAAAAGGGGGGGAAUUGAGUGGAGUUGUUUUUUCCCUUUACCAUUGCAAUCAAUGUAUACUGGAGGAUGUGUAGAAUGUAUAUUCACAGCUCACAGAAAUAUGCAGAAAAUCCCAUUAUUUCAUAGCCAUCAAUCUAUUUUUCCAUUGUUAUACUCUCUUUGGUAGCAGAAAAGGCAAGCUAGCUGGUCAAGGACAAAUGUAAGAGAGUAUAAUGAAUGAAGCAAAAAUCUUUACCUAAAUCAAAGGCAGUACAAAAAAAAAA